Molecule: long non-coding RNA, 1248 nt
Filed under: Mus caroli (Ryukyu mouse)
Lineage: Eukaryota; Metazoa; Chordata; Mammalia; Rodentia; Muridae
Description: RIKEN cDNA 2810404M03 gene (MGP_CAROLIEiJ_G0006666.1)
Source: RNAcentral
GGUCAGUCAUAAGACUGACAUAUAUGAAAGGAGAUAUCUCAAGUCACACAUCAGACCCACACUGAUACCUCCACUGAUCUGAGCCUGGUACACGCUGCUCUCUCCUGCCCGCGGUGUCUGUCUAAUGUCUCCUUGGAAUGUCUCAUCUCUCUGUGCGUCAGUGUGAUUAGACCCGCCGAAGAAAGCAGUGAUUGGAUCCUGUGGGUUGCUUUAGCUAAGCCUAUUUUAAGGACAUCGGAGACUAAGGGUAUAUCAUUUCGCAUUCUUACGCUUUUCUAUCAUUAUUGUCAUCAUCGUCGUCAUUGUCAUUGUCGUCAUCAUCAUCAUCAUCAUCAUCCUCAUUCAUGAAUUUUAGGUCUUGAUUGUGCAUAAUAUUCAUCUGUUAAAUACUUGAUUACCCAGCCCGUGGGACUGUUGGGAGGUAGUUGGACACUUCUGAGAACAUUCUCAUCUGUCAUGAUGUCACUGGUUGAUAAAACACAUAAGACCACCAAGUCUAAUCACGUCUGUGGGUUUCCAAUGUGCUUUAUAGCUAAAGAAUUCCUGUCCCUGUGCACUUUCAAAGAUCACCAUACAGAGCAGGCAAGGAGAGACACAUCUGUCAGCAAAAAGGAAGCCUUGAAGCAUACAGCUCUCUAACUUGAUGAAUAGUUGUGAAAUUUUCAAGAAGAGAUCAGAAUCAAACAACUGUCAACAUACAAGAUAUGAAUUUGACUUCCUGGAUAUGAUUUUACUUUUUAGCAAAAUGAUAGGUUUGUGCUGAGAGACAGAGAGGCGUUCUAUUGUGCAAUUCAAUUUGCAGGGAUUUAUGUCAGCCUGGUGGAAAGGAGAACAAUUAGCGUGGCAGUGCCAGUACUUUUCAAGAGGAUAUAUAAUGACUUUAGCCUAACAGUAUUCAAGGAAGCAUGGCAUUUACACACAGAGAAAUGGAUAUUAUAUAUUACAUAAGACUAACACAUCAUCAUAGUGAUACUAGGUCACAGCAACAAUCAGUUUUUAAAAAGAAUCAUAUCAAAGGAGUGACAAGAGCAAAUACAUAAGACUUUAUGGUGAGGUUUUGAUUGAAGGACCAUAAUUGCAGACUCUAAUUCAAACUAAUGUGGCUACUGUUGUGGGACUGCCUAGCCAGAUGUAUAAGGAACUUAAUGCUUUGUUAGGAUCAAAAGACAAGGAAGAUAGUGUUCUGACUGCUAACUCCUAUGUCCUGACUUCUACCCAUCAUACUAUAUUAAAGCUGGACAUGUAAUC